UGUGGUUAAAAAGCUCGUAGUUGGAUCUCAACAGCCUUGAAGCGGUUAACUUUGUAGUUUUACUGCUUUAUAGGCUGUGCUUUUGCUGGAGGUUUAGGGGUGCUCUUGAUCGAGUGUCUCUGGAUGCCAGCAGGUUUACUUUGAAAAAAUUAGAGUGCUCAAAGCAGGCUAAAAUGCCUGAAUAUUCGUGCAUGGAAUAAUAGAAUAGGAUGUCGAUCCUAUUUUGUUGGUUUUCGGGACUCGACAUAAUGAUAAAUAGGGACAGUCGGGGGCAUUUGUAUUCAAACGACAGAGGUGAAAUUCUUGGACCGUUUGAAGACAAACUACUGCGAAAGCAUUUGCCAAGAAUGUUUUCAUUAAUCAAGAACGAAAGUUAGAGGUUCGAAGGCGAUUAGAUACCGCCCUAGUUCUAACCAUAAACGAUGCCAGCUAGCGAUCUGCCUGCGUUUUUACUGUAGACUGGGCAGGAAGCUUCCGGGAAACCAAAGCAUUUGGGUUCCAGGGGAAGUAUGGUUGCAAAGCUGAAACUUAAAGGAAUUGACGGAAGGGCACCACCAGGAGUGGAGCCUGUGGCUUAAUUUGACUCAACACGGGAAAUCUCACCAGGCCCGGACACUGGAAGGAUUGACAGAUUGAUAGCUCUUUCU
RNAcentral lists this ribosomal RNA (647 nucleotides) under uncultured marine eukaryote. RNAcentral describes it as "SSU rRNA". It matches the Rfam family "Eukaryotic small subunit ribosomal RNA", at positions 614 to 1262 of the family's 1831-position model. The record is from RNAcentral.